AUGGGGCAGCCGAGGGAGCCCAGCUUCACCCCCCCCCCAUCCCUCUCCGCACCAUCCUUCCCUGGGCUGUGCCCACGCGGGGGCUCGGCCCCCACAGCCCGUGCCCACGAGGACGCAGGGGGCUGUUUGCACCUUGGUGCGGGCGCACGGGGCCGUACGGGGCCGUACGGGGCUGGGCGGGCGGGAGGCUGCUCCGUGGCACCGUGCCACGCGGGUAAAUAUUUUGCUCCAGCCACGGCUCCUGGCCCGCAGCCACCCGCAGCCGUUGGAGCACCGGGAGAUCCGGGGGCUGGAGCCAGCACCCGGCACCCCCCUUCCUCGCUCCGCGCCAGCGCCGCCUUCCUCAGCGCCAACGGCACCGCCUGGCCCCCGGCCCCGGCCGGGACGGCCCCGGUGUCCCGUGGCCGAGGUCCGGCUGCCAGCCGCUGUCCCGUGCGGGGCCGGGGGCAGAGCCCGCCACGUGCAGCGCCGGGCACCGACCGCAUGGGCACGGGGCCGGCCGGGACCUCGCCGGUGGCUGGAGCCGUGCCAGGGGUGGGUGCGUCCCCGCUCCCACGGCCCGGCCAAAGUCACCCGGGUUUUAAUACGUGGAGGUGUGGGAACGGGGGCCGGGCGGAUUCACCCCCCCCCGCUGCUCUUCGAGGAAGGAAGUUUGGGGUUUGGUGGAAUUUUCCGUGGGGAAACCGGCCGGGGCAGAGCCAGGUAUGGCUUGGGGUGGCGGCGCGGUCCCCUGCCUCCGUGACACCCCAGGGCCACGGCUGGUGGCAGCACGGGGCCCCCCAGCACGAGGAGGACGGGACGUUUUGGGGUCCCGUGUCCCCACCGUGCCUGCAGGGUCUGUCCCCCACGGUUGCCCCCCAGGCAGAUCCUGUCCCGGGCUGGCUGUCCCCGUGCCGUGGGGCAGCCCCGAGGCCGUGCCCUGCGUUGUCCCCCCCGCCCGGGCUGCCCCGAUGCCCCCGUUGCCCUGCAGGGAAACUGAGGCACUGGCUACCAGGGACUCCCAUGGCCACCACCAGCCCCGGCCCGGCCCCCACCGCCACCGCGGUUGGGGCCCCCCCGGAGGGGAACGGGUUAAGGGGCCCCCGCGGGCUCGAGCCCCCCUCGCGGGCUCCCCGAAGCUCCCCGAGGGCUCAUUAUCCGCGGCCUCGGCCCCCCUGCCCGGGGGGAUGA
Molecule: long non-coding RNA, 1170 nt
Filed under: Anser brachyrhynchus (Pink-footed goose)
Lineage: Eukaryota; Metazoa; Chordata; Aves; Anseriformes; Anatidae
Description: lncRNA (ENSABRG00000012513.1)
Source: RNAcentral